Molecule: ribosomal RNA, 371 nt
Filed under: uncultured organism
Description: bacterial SSU rRNA
Rfam family: Bacterial small subunit ribosomal RNA
Source: RNAcentral
CGGGGGAGCAAGCGUUGUUCGGAUUUACUGGGCGUAAAGGGCGCGUAGGCGGCGCAACAAGUCACUUGUGAAAUCUCCGGGCUUAACUCGGAGCGGUCAAGUGAUACUGUCGUGCUAGAGUGCGAAGGGGCAACUGGAAUUCUCGGUGUAGCGGUGAAAUGCGUAGAUAUCGAGAGGAACACCUGCGGCGAAGGCGGGUUGCUGGGCCGACACUGACGCUGAUGCGCGAAAGCUAGGGGAGCGAACGGGAUUAGAUACCCCGGUAGUCCUAGCCUUAAACGAUGGAUGCUUGGUGUCCGAGGUUAGAUAGUCCUCGGGUGCCGUCGCUAACGCUUUAAGCAUCCCGCCUGGGGAGUACGCACGCAAGUGUG